This is a long non-coding RNA of Etheostoma spectabile (orangethroat darter), 167 nucleotides long. RefSeq lists it as uncharacterized. The record is from RefSeq and is a predicted model, not a curated record. Lineage: Eukaryota; Metazoa; Chordata; Actinopteri; Perciformes; Percidae. The transcript has 3 exons.
UGGCGGACCGUUUUUAAAUCAAUUUUUGUGCUCAUGCGUAGCUCAUACCGCUGAUCAGCAGAUCACAAAGGGAGAGAGAGGGUAGAGGAACCGAGGAGAGCUAACAGCGCUAAUGGCAACAGUGCAAACAGAGCAUUGGUUAGCUCCAUGGUUAGCUCACACACUUG